This is a non-coding RNA of Bos taurus (domestic cattle), 72 nucleotides long. Lineage: Eukaryota; Metazoa; Chordata; Mammalia; Artiodactyla; Bovidae. The record is from Rfam.
UCCCUGGUGGCUCAGAUGGUAAAGCGUCUGCCUGCAAUGCGGGAGACCUGGGUUCAAUCCCUGGGUUGGGAA